GUCUUUGUGGAUUUUCCUCUUGCUUCUCUCCCAGCAAGUGCUGGGGCUGGGGUGGGAGUGUAUCAGUCCUUACUGCAUGCAUUUGCGACUAGCAGAUGAAAGCUGCUGCUGGAGCCAGUCUAAUUGGAGAGAAUUGCAGUUUAGCGGAUUUCUUACACAAGUAGUAUAUUGACAACAUCUCCUUCCCCCUCCUGAGACUCCUCCCAUGUGACGCUCACCCCCUCACGUGACCCCUCCCUCUUUAAUCUACAUAUGCAAAUCUAAGUGCUGCCUGCUGAGUUCAUUUAUGGACAAUGCCUCUCUCACCAAACUGCCUUCCGCUGGAACUCUGGGAAGGUUCACCGGCUCAAGAUUAUCACGCUGAGGACCGAACUUACUUAGGGGAACACACUCAGUUCCUAGCAGCCAGCCUGCCCUCAUCUUCUCCUUCUGAGAGCAUUAAGAAGUAGCAACUUGGAAAGGAAACUGAGCUAUGGUUCAAUCUGGUUCACACACCAAGCCUUUGAAAGCCAUGCUGUCUUGGUGUUUGUGUUUUCUCAAGUCUUACCUUGUGUUCUAGGUUGGUCUGUUUCCAUGGAGCGAUCCUCCUGCAGUAGCCUCCCAAGUCAUGGGAUUUCAUGCCUAUACCACCUAGCUUGGGAAUAUGGAAUUCCUAAGAACUCUAAUUCCUUCCAUAAUGGUAUUCAGUUCCGCUUCUUAUUGCCAACUGUAGCCAUUUUUGCAGAGUUUUGGAUUCUCUUUUGUUAGCAUCAAGGUAAUUUCAGAGCAAUGACUCUUGUAAAUUUAAAGUACUUACCCAGAAAAAAUGGGGAUUGGGAGGACAAUCUACUAAAUCAAACCACUUACUAAAACUAGAAUUAGAUAAAAAUAUUAAUUUAAAACUGAAAAAUAAAUGCCCAAAGCUAAGUCUGCUUCCCAUGUCUGUACCCUAACCCUUGUCAAGGCUGCCUCUGAGCCCUUCCCCACCAAAGGCUUGGAGUAUAGACUCCACAAACAUUUUUCCAGGGAUCAGCCCACACCACCCACGGCUAGCCACACGUCUCGCCUCCUCUAUUUGAAAAAUAAAAACAAACCAUCUUCAA
RNAcentral lists this long non-coding RNA (1082 nucleotides) under Mus caroli (Ryukyu mouse). RNAcentral's name for it is "predicted gene 5083 (MGP_CAROLIEiJ_G0004953.1)". Lineage: Eukaryota; Metazoa; Chordata; Mammalia; Rodentia; Muridae. The record is from RNAcentral.